CCUACGGGCGGCAGCAGUGGGGAAUAUUGGACAAUGGGGGGAACCCUGAUCCAGCCAUGCCGCGUGUGUGAAGAAGGCCCUCGGGUUGUAAAGCACUUUCAGUGAGGAAGAACGCCUGGUGGUUAAUACCCAUCAGGAAAGACAUCACUCACAGAAGAAGCACCGGCUAACUCCGUGCCAGCAGCCGUGGUAAUACGGAGGGUGCGAGCGUUAAUCGGAAUUACUGGGCGUAAAGCGCGCGUAGGUGGCUUGAUAAGCCGGUUGUGAAAGCCCCGGGCUCAACCUGGGAACGGCAUCCGGAACUGUCAAGCUAGAGUGCAGGAGAGGAAGGUAGAAUUCCCGGUGUAGCGGUGAAAUGCGUAGAGAUCGGGAGGAAUACCAGUGGCGAAGGCGGCCUUCUGGACUGACACUGACACUGAGGUGCGAAAGCGUGGGUAGCAAACAGGAUUAGAUACCCUUGUAGUC
This 465-nucleotide ribosomal RNA is filed under the name Vreelandella stevensii. Its description in RNAcentral is "partial 16S ribosomal RNA". It matches the Rfam family "Bacterial small subunit ribosomal RNA", at positions 338 to 795 of the family's 1533-position model. Lineage: Bacteria; Pseudomonadati; Pseudomonadota; Gammaproteobacteria; Oceanospirillales; Halomonadaceae. The record is from RNAcentral.